UGCCUAUUUCUGGAUAAUACUUUUCUUAUG
This 30-nucleotide non-coding RNA is filed under the name Rattus norvegicus (Norway rat). Lineage: Eukaryota; Metazoa; Chordata; Mammalia; Rodentia; Muridae. The record is from RNAcentral.